This is a long non-coding RNA of Cercocebus atys (sooty mangabey), 433 nucleotides long. RefSeq lists it as uncharacterized. NCBI's taxonomy places the organism in Eukaryota, Metazoa, Chordata, Mammalia, Primates, Cercopithecidae. The record is from RefSeq and is a predicted model, not a curated record. The transcript is spliced from 3 exons.
CUACCACUGGGGGUCGCAAGUGCCCACAAUAAUGCUCCAUUUCUUUUUAAUAAAACAAACAGGAAGUAUCUUUUUUGUGAAGGAGAUUUGUCCUUCACUGAUGCACUGCCCUUUGGUUGAUGAAUACUCAGAAAAGGGGUAAGGACAGAGGAUGUUGUGAAGGGUAGAACAGGGGAAAAAUAGGGGGCAAAGCUUGGAGCCUGUUUCCAAAGAGCAAAAGAAUGGAUCUCCUCCCAGGUUACAAAAAGGCUGUCACUUCUGUCUCGAGCACCUUUCUCACUCUCUCACUCUUUCGUUUUGAAGAAAGCCAGCUGUCAAGUUGUGAGCUGCCAACAACCAGGAGGAUCAAUAAAAAUGGAGAGACAGGCUGGGCACUGGCUCAUGCCUGUAAUCCCAGCACUUUGCAUGGCCAAUGUGGAAGGAUUGCUUGAGG